This 274-nucleotide long non-coding RNA is filed under the name Elaeis guineensis (African oil palm). RNAcentral describes it as "long non-coding RNA (EGUI_LNC054893)". The record is from RNAcentral. Lineage: Eukaryota; Viridiplantae; Streptophyta; Magnoliopsida; Arecales; Arecaceae.
GUUCUCCAACUUUAUGGAUCUGACGACUCCAACUUCAUUUCUCUGAGAUAAAUUUGUUUCUUAUUUUCUUUGCACUCUAACUCUCUGACAAUGUUGUCAGAGCACAACCACCCCACUUCCCUGAUCAGACUAUUGUCAGACCUUCUCUUCGCCAACGGCCAUGUGUUUCUUCCCCCAAACCCUUGCUACCACUUUAGCUCCCCCCCAGCAAAAAAAAGCCAGCUACCAUGUUCUCCAUAGUUGGGCCAUUGGUCCAACCCAAAACCCACCAUCC